RNAcentral lists this ribosomal RNA (367 nucleotides) under uncultured Bacteroidota bacterium. Its description in RNAcentral is "bacterial SSU rRNA". It matches the Rfam family "Bacterial small subunit ribosomal RNA", at positions 1025 to 1391 of the family's 1533-position model. The record is from RNAcentral. Lineage: Bacteria; Pseudomonadati; Bacteroidota.
CGGAAAUUACAAGGUGCUGCAUGGUUGUCGUCAGCUCGUGCCGUGAGGUGUCGGGUUAAGUCCCAUAACGAGCGCAACCCCUAUCGUUAGUUGCUAGCAGGUAAUGCUGAGGACUCUAGCGAGACUGCCACCGUAAGGUGUGAGGAAGGUGGGGAUGACGUCAAAUCAGCACGGCCCUUACGUCCAGGGCCACACACGUGUUACAAUGGCCAGUACAAAGGGCAGCUACCAGGCGACUGGAUGCUAAUCUCAAAAGCUGGUCUCAGUUCGGAUCGGAGUCUGCAACUCGACUCCGUGAAGUUGGAUUCGCUAGUAAUCGUAUAUCAGCAAUGAUACGGUGAAUACGUUCCCGGGCCUUGUACACACC